GUGGGGAAUAUUGGGCAAUGGGGGAAACCCUGACCCAGCAACGCCGCGUGAGGGAAGAAGGUCUUCGGAUUGUAAACCUUUGUCCUAUGGGACGAAGAAAGUGACGGUACCAUAGGAGGAAGCUCCGGCUAACUACGUGCCAGCAGCCGCGGUAAUACGUAGGGAGCGAGCGUUGUCCGGAAUUACUGGGCGUAAAGGGUGCGUAGGUGGCCAUGUAAGUCAGGUGUGAAAGACCGGGGCUUAACCCCGGGGUUGCACUUGAAACUGUGUGGCUUGAGUACAGGAGAGGGAAGUGGAAUUCCUAGUGUAGCGGUGAAAUGCGUAGAUAUUAGGAGGAACACCAGUGGCGAAGGCGACUUUCUGGACUGCAACUGACACUGAGGCACGAAAGCGUGGGGAGCAAACAGGAUUAGAAACCCUAGUAGUCC
This 428-nucleotide ribosomal RNA is filed under the name uncultured bacterium. RNAcentral's name for it is "bacterial SSU rRNA". It matches the Rfam family "Bacterial small subunit ribosomal RNA", at positions 354 to 796 of the family's 1533-position model. The record is from RNAcentral.